This 200-nucleotide ribosomal RNA is filed under the name uncultured Glomus. Its description in RNAcentral is "partial small subunit ribosomal RNA". It matches the Rfam family "Eukaryotic small subunit ribosomal RNA", at positions 591 to 797 of the family's 1831-position model. Lineage: Eukaryota; Fungi; Glomeromycota; Glomeromycetes; Glomerales; Glomeraceae. The record is from RNAcentral.
CCAAUAGCGUAUAUUAAAGUUGUUGCAGUUAAAAAGCUCGUAGUUGAAUUUCGAGAUCGGCUUACUGGUCGUGCUUUUGUACGUACUGGUAUAAUCGGUUUCUCCUUUCUGACGAACUAUAAUGCCAUUAAUUUGGUGUUAUAGGGAAUCAGGACUGUUACUUUGAAAAAAUUAGAGUGUUUAAAGCAGGCUCACGCUUG